This 216-nucleotide long non-coding RNA is filed under the name Hordeum vulgare. RNAcentral describes it as "long non-coding RNA (HVUL_LNC019369)". Lineage: Eukaryota; Viridiplantae; Streptophyta; Magnoliopsida; Poales; Poaceae. The record is from RNAcentral.
GAUGGAUGAAUUGAUGAAAUUAUUUGCUAGUAAGAAUGCUCCUAUUGAUCCCAAUUAUAUGUCUUUGUCUUCUUUGAUUGGAAACAAUAAUGAAUCUAUGGAUGUUAAUUUUGUUGGUAGGAACAAUUUUGGCAAUAACGAGUAUAGAGGUAAUUUCAAUCCCAGGUCGUUUCCUAGUAAUUCCUCUAAUAAUUAUGAUAAUUCCGACAACAAUUC